AGAAGGGCUUCCGAAGCGAACGUUUCGGGGGCCUUUUUCUUUUGC
This 45-nucleotide antisense RNA is filed under the name Pseudoxanthobacter soli DSM 19599. RNAcentral describes it as "ctRNA". It matches the Rfam family "ctRNA". Rfam says of the family: This family represents a group of ctRNAs (or counter-transcribed RNAs) from p42d and related plasmids. ctRNAs are small, highly structured, antisense sequences which are involved in negative regulation. Members of this family are known to bind to the mRNA of repC causing translational repression. Lineage: Bacteria; Pseudomonadati; Pseudomonadota; Alphaproteobacteria; Hyphomicrobiales; Segnochrobactraceae. The record is from Rfam by way of RNAcentral.